AAUCAACGCUGGCGGCGUGCCUAACACAUGCAAGUCGCACGAGAAAGUGGAGCAAUCCAUGAGUACAGUGGCGCACGGGUGAGUAACACGUGAAUCAUCUACCUCCGAGUGGGGAAUAACCUAGGGAAACCUGGGCUAAUACCGCAUAACACUUACGAGUCAAAGCAGCAAUGCGCUUGGAGAGGAGUUCGCGGCAGAUUAGCUAGUUGGGGGGUAAUGGCCUACCAAGGCGAUGAUCUGUAUCCGGCCUGAGAGGGCGCACGGACACACUGGAACUGAAACACGGUCCAGACUCCUACGGGAGGCAGCAGUGGGGAAUUUUGCGCAAUGGGGGAAACCCUGACGCAGCAACGCCGCGUGGAGGAUGAAAUCCCUUGGGAUGUAAACUCCUUUCGAUCGGGACGAUUAUGACGGUACCGGAAGAAGAAGCCCCGGCUAACUUCGUGCCAGCCGCCGCAGUAAC
RNAcentral lists this ribosomal RNA (463 nucleotides) under uncultured bacterium. RNAcentral describes it as "bacterial SSU rRNA". It matches the Rfam family "Bacterial small subunit ribosomal RNA", at positions 32 to 524 of the family's 1533-position model. The record is from RNAcentral.